UUAGUGAAAAGAAAAGCGAGAAAAACUUGCACAAACCCAAACGAAUUUCGACGCCAACUUCGUAUUAUGCCAAUCAAUCAAACUGCAUUUUAAUUUAAACCACAAAAAUGCUAUCAAAAGCCCGAAGUAUAAUCAAAACAAAUAACAAAUAAACGCGACUCCGCCCUGCCACGCCCUCGUAUUUUGGAAGUUCCAGUCCGGGCUCCUGUUCUCCAACCUUCCAGCUUCCAGCUAAAAACAGCUGCACUGCUCCAUUCCCCCACGAUGAGAUAAAAACCAAACGCAGUCGCCCAAUGCAUACAAAUGAGCGGAGGAGCCCUGGAGUCACGUAGCCAGGACGAAAGAGCUAGCAAGGUCUCCCCAUCCAACGAAGCGGCGAGGAGCGGUGACUCUAAUUAAGACAGGCCUGGUCUGGGCCAAAAUUAAUGGAACCCACGAGUGGCGAAGCGUUUUCGGUGUUCACGCAAAUUAAAUUCCAUCAAGUUUAUUUGCUGUAAAUGAGGCAGUGGCAGAAGGAGGAGGAUGUACUGGUCUUAAUUCAAUUUCCCCACCCUUAACCCUUUGUGUCCCUUAGCACGUGUUGCCAUUUACCAUUUAGAAGCGAAGGCAUAGGCCUGAAAACAAGUACACUUAAACACACAGAUGCUAAAUCUAAUUCGUUCGAUUUGAAUUCGUUAGAUUUUUCAUGUAAAUAGUCAUUAUAAUUAUUAUUGUGGUCUACAUUGAGUUGUGUCUUGAGCAAUAUCAGUGGUAAAGCUUGAGAAACACGAAAUUGUAAACAUAAAUCUAAUAUUUAUUAUGAAAGUUCAUAUUUGUGCAUCUUGCAAAUGCUAUUAUUAUAAAAUUAAAAUAAAUAAGACGAUUGAAAAGAGGGAAAAUCUAUUAAUUAGUAACUAUUAUAAUGUGAUGUUAUAUAUAUAAAUCAAUCGACAAACAUGGAAACUAAAGAAAACUAAACAUAAAAAAAUGAUAUAUACAAAAUGUUUAACCAACGUAACAAAUUUCACUAAGUAGAUUUUUCGAAUUAAAUUUAAAUAAUAACUAAAAGUAUGGCAAAAUUCAGAAAAUCAAACAUUUUGCUGUUUACACGAGAUAAAAUUGCGUUUUUCUACUAAAAAUAAAUAUGUAAAAUGAUUUUCAAAUCUAGAUUACCCCAUUUACCUUACAAUAUAACAAAACAAAUUAUACAGAUAUAAAAUACAAAUUCUAUGUAAAUGUUGUGCGUAUAUAAAAGCAGAAACGUAGAAUCCCACAUUUCGAGAUCUUUUUGGUUAUUUGUUAUGUGUGUGCUAUAUCUUCUUCUAUGUAAACAUAUAAAUAACGCGUGGCUUCGUCUAGCAAACAUUUUGGGCCUUAAACCAACCUACUCAAGCCGGGGCCUUGGUGUUCUUCUUAUUACCCAGCAUUCUUCAGAUCAAUAUAUUUAUAUACCCCUGGGGAGGGGAGCAACCCACACACUAAUGGUUAUUCUCCAUCUACGUGAAUGUGUUCGUUUCUAAACUUGUAUAAAAGCACGCACCCCUCUCCGCUUAGACACAAAAUGUUUGUAAGAUAUUGACAGAGAAAACGAAAUUAUAUAAUAAUAUAAAUAAUAUUUCCGGGAGUAAAGGAAGAAGACAUUUUAGUUUUUCUACUUGAAUCGCAUUUCUUCCACUUCUCACCAAUCAAAUCAAAUGUAAAUGAGAAAUUUAAUACGAAGAAUUGAACUUUGAGUCUCUUCAAUCCUCAAGCUCAAAACAAACCCAAAAAAAUGCAAAUAAACUAAUUUUAAUUAAGUUUUUAGGUUCCAUUAUUUAGUUGUCUUGUUAUUUAUAUGUUUAGCUUUAGUUUUUGUCUAAUUUAUUUAUAAGUUUUGGCUCCGCAAUAAAUACAGACAUUUAUAUA
This is a long non-coding RNA of Drosophila elegans, 1884 nucleotides long. RefSeq lists it as uncharacterized. The transcript is spliced from 2 exons. The record is from RefSeq and is a predicted model, not a curated record. NCBI's taxonomy places the organism in Eukaryota, Metazoa, Arthropoda, Insecta, Diptera, Drosophilidae.